Long non-coding RNA from Syngnathus acus (greater pipefish), 295 nucleotides. RefSeq lists it as uncharacterized. The transcript has 2 exons. The record is from RefSeq and is a predicted model, not a curated record. NCBI's taxonomy places the organism in Eukaryota, Metazoa, Chordata, Actinopteri, Syngnathiformes, Syngnathidae.
AGUAAUGACAAGGUGAGAGAGAUAUCUGACAUGUGCGCUUUAUUGGGUUGUCAUGUAACUAGAAGCUUAGCAAGCCUCAUGUACAAACCUUUCUACCACCACCUUACAAAGUAGCUCUUCAUUUUUGCAUAUUGACAAAAACUGGAGCAAAUAUCUUAAGGCUGAAAGUACAAAAACAAACAGAUGACAUAAUUUACAUCAAGCAAUACUGACAGAGAAGUUGGAAACCUUCAUAGAGGCAAAUAAAGGUGGUGAACAAACUGAAGAAAACUAAACCACACAAAAAAAAAAAAAA